Molecule: ribosomal RNA, 384 nt
Filed under: uncultured prokaryote
Description: bacterial SSU rRNA
Rfam family: Archaeal small subunit ribosomal RNA
Source: RNAcentral
GCGAAAACUUUACAAUGCUGGCAACAGCGAUAAGGGAACCUCGAGUGCCAGGUUACAAAUCUGGCUGUCGAGAUGCCUAAAAAGCAUUUCAUAGCAAGGGCCGGGCAAGACCGGUGCCAGCCGCCGCGGUAACACCGGCGGCUCGAGUGGUAACCGUUAUUAUUGGGUCUAAAGGGUCUGUAGCCGGCCGGAUAAGUCUCUUGAGAAAUCUGGCAGCUUAACUGUCAGGCUUCCAGGAGAUACUGUCUGGCUCGAGGCCGGGAGAGGUGAGAGGUACUUCAGGGGUAAGGGUGAAAUCUUGUAAUCCUUGAAGGACCACCAGUGGCGAAGGCGUCUCACCAGAACGGACCUGACGGCAAGGGACGAAAGCUAGGGGCACGAACC